RNAcentral lists this ribosomal RNA (468 nucleotides) under uncultured bacterium. Its description in RNAcentral is "partial 16S ribosomal RNA". It matches the Rfam family "Bacterial small subunit ribosomal RNA", at positions 28 to 507 of the family's 1533-position model. The record is from RNAcentral.
GACGAACGCUGGCGGCGUGCUUAACACAUGCAAGUCGAACGGAAAGGCCCUGCUCUUGCGGGGUGCUCGAGUGGCGAACGGGUGUGUAACACGUGAGUAACCUGCCCUUGACUUUGGGAUAACUUCAGGAAACUGCGGCUAAUAUCGGAUAGGAGCUCCUGCUGCACGGUGGGGGAUGGUAAGUUUCGGCGGUUGGGGAUGGUCUCGCGGCUUAUCAGCUUGUUGGUGGGGUAGUGGCUUACCAAGGCUUCGACGGGUAGCCGGCCUGAGAGGGUGACCGGGCACAUUGGGACUGAGAUACGGCCCAGAAGCCUACGGGAGGCAGCAGUGGGGAAUAUUGCACAAUGGGCGGAAGCCUGAUGCAGCAACGCCGCGUGCGGGAUAACGGCCUUCGGGUUGUAAACCGCUUUCGCCUGUGACGAAGCGUGAGUGACGGUAAUGGGUAAAGAAGCACCGGCUAACUACGUG